AAGUAACGAUAAAAUAUGUGAAAAACAUAUUCGCCAUAAGUCUAAGGGUUCCUGAUCAAUGUUAAUCAGAUCAGGGUUAGUCGGAUCCUAAGGACCAGCCGAAAGGCGACCUCCGAUGGAAAAACUGUUAAUAUUCAGUUACUUGCUUAAAUUUCGAUGGGGUGACGGAGUAGUGAAAGUGCCGCGAACUGACGGAAUAGUUCGUUAAAGUGCGUAGGUAUAUUGAUUGCAGGAAAAUCCGCAGUUAAUGCUGAAACAUGACAGUACACAGAACCUUCGGGGGACGUGAUAGUGCACCUAAUCAAACUUCCAAGAAAAACCUCUAAGGCUAGGUUUAAGCAAUCCGUACCGGAAAUCGACACAGAUAGACGAGGAGAGCAUCCUAAGGCGCUCGGGUGAGCCGCGGCUAAGGAAUUCGGCAAAAUUGUUCUGUAACUUCGGGAUAAAGAACCCCUACUUCGGUAGGGCGCAGUGAAAUGGCCCAGGCGACUGUUUAACAAAAACACAGGACUCUGCUAAAUCGUAAGAUGAAGUAUAGGGUCUGACUCCUGCCCGGUGCUGGAAGGUUAAGGAAGGUGGUCAGCGUAAGCGAAGCUACCGACUGAAGCCCCAGUAAACGGCGGCCGUAACAAUAACGGUCCUAAGGUAGCGAAAUUCCUUGUCGGGUAAGUUCCGACCUGCACGAAUGGAGUAACGAUCUGGGCACUGUCUCAGCCGCGAGCCCGGUGAAAUUGAAGUAUCGGUGAAGAUGCCGAUUACCCGCAAUGGGACGGAAAGACCCCAUGCACCUUCACUACAACUUAACACUGAAUUUGAUUAAAUGAUGUGUAGGAUAGGUGGGAGACUUUGAAGCGGUGGCGCCAGCCAUCGUGGAGUCAACCUUGAAAUACCACCCUUCCUUUGAUUAGAUUCUAACUCCCGAUAAAGAGGACAAUGUUUGGUGGGUAGUUUGACUGGGGUGGUCGCCUCCCAAAAUGUAACGGAGGCUUCCAAAGGUACGUUCAACACGCUUAGUAACCGUGUGUAGAGUGCAUUGGCACAAACGUGCUUGACUGUAAGGCAAACAAGCCGAGCAGGGACGAAAGUCGGGCAAAGUGAUCCGGUGGUUCCAUAUGGAAGGGCCAUCGCUCAUAGGAUAAAAGGUACGCUGGGAUAACAGGCUGAUCUCCCCCAAGAGCUCACAUCGACGGGGAGGUUUGGCACCUCGAUGUCGGCUCGUCACAUCCUGGGGCUGGAGAAGGUCCCAAGGGUUGAGCUGUUCGCUCAUUAAAGUGGCACGCGAGCUGGGUUCAGAACGUCGCAAGACAGUUCGGUCCCUAUCUAUUGCGGGCGUUAGAAAUUUGAGGAGAGCUGACUCUAGUACGAGAGGACCGUGUCGGACGAACCUCUGGUGUAUCUGUUGUGGCGCCAGCUGCAUUGCAGAGUAGCUAUGUUCGGAAUGGAUAAGCACUGAAAGCAUCUAAGUGCGAAGCCAACUCCAAGAUGAGAUUUCUUUUAAGGGUCGUAGAAGAUUACUACGUUGAUAGGUCGCAGGUGUAAAGGUGGUGACAUCAAAGCCGAGCGAUACUAAUUGCCCGUUUACUUUCUA
This 1588-nucleotide ribosomal RNA is filed under the name metagenome. Its description in RNAcentral is "bacterial LSU rRNA". It matches the Rfam family "Bacterial large subunit ribosomal RNA", at positions 1304 to 2925 of the family's 2925-position model. The record is from RNAcentral.